This 305-nucleotide ribosomal RNA is filed under the name uncultured bacterium. Its description in RNAcentral is "partial 16S ribosomal RNA". It matches the Rfam family "Bacterial small subunit ribosomal RNA", at positions 505 to 807 of the family's 1533-position model. The record is from RNAcentral.
ACAGCAGCAGCCACGGGAAUACGUAGGUGGCAAGCGCUGUCCGGAAUUAUUGGGCGCAAAGGGCUCGCAGGCGGUUUCUUAAGUCUGAUGUGAAAGCCCCCGGCUCAACCGGGGAGGGUCAUUGGAAACUGGGAAACUUGAGUGCAGAAGAGGAGAGUGGAAUUCCACGUGUAGCGGUGAAAUGCGUAGAGAUGUGGAGGAACACCAGUGGCGAAGGCGACUCUCUGGUCUGUAACUGACGCUGAGGAGCGAAAGCGUGGGGAGCGAACAGGAUUAGAUACCCGCGUAGUCCCUGUCUCUUAUAC